Molecule: small nucleolar RNA, 144 nt
Organism: Apodemus sylvaticus (European woodmouse)
Lineage: Eukaryota; Metazoa; Chordata; Mammalia; Rodentia; Muridae
Product: small nucleolar RNA SNORA48
Exons: 1
Source: RefSeq, a predicted model, not a curated record
CACUCCUGGCAAUGGGCAGAGAUACCUUUCUGCUAGUGGUGGUGUUCUUCUAUCAGUCAGGGCAGAGCAGACAUCAGUUCUUUGUUCAUCCUAGCUUGAUUCCUGGCUUGGUGGCCAAAGCGAUUUUAUGACUAGGACACAUAA